Molecule: ribosomal RNA, 798 nt
Filed under: uncultured fungus
Lineage: Eukaryota; Fungi
Description: eukaryotic LSU rRNA
Rfam family: Eukaryotic large subunit ribosomal RNA
Source: RNAcentral
GAACUUAAGCAUAAUCAAUAAGCGAAGAAAGAAACUAACAAGGAUUCCCUCAGUAAUUCGAGGAAAGUGGAAAGCUCAAAUUGAAAUCUGGCAGCUCUUCAGGUUGUCCGAGUUGUAAUCUAGAGAAGCGUUACCUGUGGUGGACCGUGUAAAAGUCUUCUGGAAUGGAGCAUCAUAGAGGGUGAGAAUCCCGUCUUUGACAUGGACUACCAGCAUGCCAAGGUGCACUCUCAAAGAGUCGAGUUGUUUGGGAAUGCAGCUCAAAAUGGGUGGUAAAUGCCAUCUAAAGCUAAAUAUUGGCGAGAGACCGAUAGCGAACAAGUACCGUGAGGGAAAGAUGAAAAGAACUUUGGAAAGAGAGUUAAACAGUACGUGAAAUUGCUGAAAGGGAAACGCUUAAAGUCAGUCGCAUUAGCUGGAAAUCAGGCUUGCUUUUGCAAGGUGCACUUUCUAGUUGAUGGGUCAGCAUCAAUUUUAAUCGUUGGAUAAAGUCAUUGGGAAUGUGGCAUCUUUGGAUGUGUUAUAGCCCAGUGUUGAAUACAGCGGUCAGGAUUGAGGAAUUCAGCAUGCCUCUAGGGGCCAGGUUUCGACCAUGUUCAUGCUUAGGAUGCUGGCAUAAUGGCUUUAAUCGACCCGUCUUGAAACACGGACCAAGGAGUCUAACAUGCCUGCGAGUGUUUGGGUGAAAAACCCAUACGCACAAUGAAAGUGAAAGUUGAGAUCCUUAGGGAGCAUUGACGCCCGGACCAGACCUUCUGUGACGGAUCCGCGGUAGAGCAUGUAUGUUGGGACCCGAAA